UACUGAGGGUGCAAGCGUUGCUCGGAAUUAUUGGGCGUAAAGGGUAGGUAGGUGGUCUCAUUUGUCUGGGGUGAAAGCCUUGAGCUUAACUCAAGAAGUGCCCCAGAAACGGUGAGACUGGAGUCCUGGAGAGGGUCGUGGAAUUCCCGGUGUAGCGGUGAAAUGCGUAGAGAUCGGGAGGAACACCAGAGGCGAAAGCGGCGACCUGGACAGGUACUGACACUCAACUACGAAAGCGUGGGGAGCAAACAGG
Molecule: ribosomal RNA, 253 nt
Filed under: uncultured bacterium
Lineage: Bacteria
Description: partial 16S ribosomal RNA
Rfam family: Bacterial small subunit ribosomal RNA
Source: RNAcentral